UUAGAAUAUUGGUAGGUGGCAUUUUUAAUAAUGAAUGUCAUAUGUCCUUGGGCAGCUUCUAGGAGCAAGGAAGGCAAACAGAAUGUAUACUGAUGGGAGAAGAGACGGUGGUACUAGAAGACACUUACGAGCUAAGAAAUAUCUGGAGGAUAUGGAGAGAUAAAUCACUGCACCUUCCAAGAUGUUUCUGAACAACCACUCAAACUAUUCUUUAAUGCCCAGAAAUGUAUGACGUCUUCUACUUAAUCCAUUUCUUCUAUACAACGUGAAGAAAACAAGUGCAAAGGAUAGACUAAGGUCAUGAACUACAGGUCUUUUGCUGGUAGGUUAACUAUGGCGACCACACUUGAGGGGAGAAAUCCUACACUAACAAAGAACUAACAAGGAUGUACAACAAUGUAUUUUUAAAAUAUAGAAAUACAGAGAAAAAAUAAGUGCACAAUUGCAGAUGUGUUUAUUGAGAGAUUGCAGAGCAGCAGCAAUGGCGCCACAUUGUGGCAGCGGGUCAUUUUUCUGCUAGCAAAGUUAUCUCUCAGAAUUGAGUUCUUUUCAUUCAUUGGUUUUGUGUAGCCCCUCAUGAGGCCCAGAGAUGUGAAUUAAGAGAUGAGAGUCAGUACAACAAGGAAAGUCAACAUCUGUUUGUGUCACUUACUUGUGCCUUACAGAUUUGUUUUUACUUGAUUCCAAAUAUCUCACUUUUAUCACACCAUCAAAGAUUGCUGUGUCUGUCCAAUCUAUUGACUCAAUAGAUAAUCAUGGUUCAGCUUAUGCUGAGAAUCCCUUCAGAAAGGAGAAUUAUAUAGUCAUAAAUUAUAUACUGUAUAGUCAUAAACUAAAUUAAAUGUAGGUAAAUAAAGGAAAAAUAAACAUCAGUAAAUAAAAUAUUUUUUAUGCGUAUUUGAUCUAAUAGGUAUGUAUUUGUCAAAGGUACACAAUACCAGUGUAAGAGGGAGAGAUCAGUACGUAUUUCCUGUGAGGGGGCGAGGAUGUAGCUUGAGAUCAUCAUCAAGGGCCAGUGAUUUCAUCAAUCACGCCCAUGUUAGGAAGCCGCCACAGAACCCCAAAAGGACAGCCUGUAAGAGCUUCUAGCUUGAUGCUCCAGGCCCUCAAGGUGCUGAUUGAAAACGCAGAUGUUGUGUAUGAAAGAUUG
Long non-coding RNA from Talpa occidentalis (Iberian mole), 1150 nucleotides. RefSeq lists it as uncharacterized. The record is from RefSeq and is a predicted model, not a curated record. NCBI's taxonomy places the organism in Eukaryota, Metazoa, Chordata, Mammalia, Eulipotyphla, Talpidae. The transcript is spliced from 4 exons.